Non-coding RNA from Triticum aestivum (bread wheat), 135 nucleotides. Lineage: Eukaryota; Viridiplantae; Streptophyta; Magnoliopsida; Poales; Poaceae. The record is from Rfam.
GAAAUACCCCCUCCGUCCAGUAAUACUUGUCAUCAAAAUGAAUAAAAGAGGAUGUAUCUAGAUGUAUUUUAGUUCUAGAUACAUCCCUUUUUUUCCAUUUUGUUGACAAGUAUUUUCGGAUGGAGGGAGUAUGAU